This 2223-nucleotide long non-coding RNA is filed under the name Homo sapiens (human). RNAcentral's name for it is "uncharacterized LL0XNC01-250H12.3, transcript variant 5 (LL0XNC01-250H12.3)". The record is from RNAcentral. Lineage: Eukaryota; Metazoa; Chordata; Mammalia; Primates; Hominidae.
AUAACGGCGACCGUGAAGACUUUUAAAAUAGAGACCAACGUGGCCGGGCAGGAAGAGCAGGGUCCCGCCUUCAGGUGUUUGGGACUCAGCUGAGGGUGUGGGUGCCCCGCGGUGGGGGCUGAACCUUCCUGGGGUGUGGAGAGACGAAAGGAGCCCAGAUCCAAGUUCCCUCGUUCCCGCUUUGGCAUAAGUUGCCCUGGCGGUCUCAUGAGAGAGAGAAAGAGCUGGGACCCUCCUCGCCCCAUGUAACAUCAGACAAGGGUGUUGACUCUGCAGCACAGAACCAGUAGUUUGUGGAGAAGAAUGGAGGUGUGGUGUUGAAUCUGCUAGACAGGCUACUGAAGCAAAAGUCAAGAGAUCCAGAUUCCAUCAUGGGGACACUUUAGUUCUUCAUCGGGUAAUUGAGCUGAUAUCAGGUGUCUGAAGGAGGCAAGUUUUGAAGAUGUGGGUCAUGAUGGCUGCUGAAGCUUCCACUCCAUAUUUGAAGGUCAGCAGUUCUCAGGAAACCUCUAGCACUUCCAUCCCUGGUGGGAUGUGAUGCCUGUCUCAGUGUAACAUCAGAGAAGGGGUGUACUCUGUGCCCUAGAACUAGGAGCUAACAGAGAAAAACCAAAUGUGAUGUGGAGUCUGCUAGACAGGCUACUGGAGCAAGAGUGAAGCGAUGAAAGUCUCAUCAUUGGGACAUAUUAGGGAGGCAGCAGGUGGCUGAAAUCCUGGUGUGAUGUGGCUGGAUCAUGCAUGAUCUGAGGACUCCUGCACAGAUGCAGUGGAUCCCCAGGUUGCAAGUCAUAUAACCUGAGCAUGCCCAGAUGAACCAAGUAUGCCUGAUUGGUGAACCUGGAACUGGCCAGAACAGAAAAUGUCAACCACAUGUGGAAUCUAAGUAUUCAGAUUGAGAAAUGAGGACCAAAAUGAGAACACUGAGCUCCUCACACAGGUGACUGAACCCGUGGUUUUGGUGUCUGAGAAGAUGCAGCUUCUCCAGUCUCUGCAACUGACGGCAGGAAGAUGGGAGCACUCAGCUUCAGUGUUCAGAAGCAGAUUUAGGCCAAUUGCCAUACCUUACGUUCUGGAGGGAUCCACCCUGACCUGAGCAGAAGGCAUCACACACAUUCCCAAGCAGCAUGGUUCCCGUGAGAAACUGAAAACUAAUUUCUUGAAUCUACAAUGCGACUUCCAUCUUCCAGGUGUAACCAGAGUUUUUCCUGGAGCGAUUCCAGCUUGUUUCCUUUUGGUGCCUUCCUUAAGAAAUUUUGCAGCUGUUUCUGGUGCAGUUUUUGGGUGGGCUCUGGGGUGGGCAGACGAUCUCCACUUUGCAGAGGCUGCUCUUGUGAGUGGAGCUGGUGGUGAGGGAGUAGGAGAGGCCUCGCAUCAUCCUGGCAUUCAGGCCCUUAGCCAUGGAGAAGGACUUGAGGUGGCUUCUUAAGGUACUGGGGAGCGGGAGCUUGUCCACCAGAUGCACAGGUGUGCAGGACACGAUGGUGCGGCAGCAGAGGUCUUGCAAGCUCAGUACCUUGCUCGGCCUCCCGAGCCAAUUCAUCCUGUGCCGCAGCAGCACUAUCCUGGCCAGCUCCGUGAAAGACUCUAUGAUGUUGAAAUUGCACAGAGGGCUGACCUCAAAGAAGGUCACACCCAGGCGCUCGGCGUAGGCCUGGGCCUGCUCCCUGGGCACCUGCCUCUUGAAUGCCAGAUGUAGGCGAUUCCCCACCAGGAUUUUAGGGACACCAGGGGCAUGUUCCUCAAUCUUCUUAAUCCAUCGAUCCAUACCCUCGAAAGACCAGCGGUUUGCAAUGUCGUAGACCAGGAUCACUCCUUGUGCACCACGAGAGUAGGAGCGGAAUAUGGUACAAAAUCUUCCCUGCCCCGACGUAUCCCAGAGCUUCAGCUUCACCCGCUGGCCGUCCAGCAGGAUGGUGGUCGUCUUGUAGUCGAUCCCCCCGAGAUGGCUGUACGGGGACUCAGCUGCACCAUCCUGCAGGCUCUCCAGGAUCUCACUCUUGCCUACGUCCCUGUCGCCCACCAGCAGGAACUUGAGCAGGAAGUCAUAGGCCUGGUCGGGGCUGCCCGGGGCGCUCAUGGUGCUGGCCCCGCACUCCCGCCUGAGCCAGGCCCGCGGGGUUGUGCGCAGAGGUGGUGCCGGGCCUGUUCUUCUUGAGAAAUUAGCAUAGAACAUAAAAAAUGAGAUGGGGAAGUCUGUGAAAUAAAGCGAAAUGAGGUGGUGGC